Molecule: non-coding RNA, 162 nt
Filed under: Paramoeba aestuarina
Lineage: Eukaryota; Discosea; Flabellinia; Dactylopodida; Paramoebidae
Source: RNAcentral
AAAGAAAAAGAAAAAGAAAAAGAAAAAGAAAAAAGAAAGAACAAAUUCUUGCUCCAGGGGUGGGGAUUUUGGAAGCAUUUGUUGUUGUUUUUUCUCGAAUUUGUAAAAAAGAGAGGGAGUUUGCGACAGGGGGAAGGUUUGUGAGAGUGGUUGUGUUUAAGA